Molecule: long non-coding RNA, 384 nt
Filed under: Malus domestica (apple)
Lineage: Eukaryota; Viridiplantae; Streptophyta; Magnoliopsida; Rosales; Rosaceae
Description: long non-coding RNA (MDOM_LNC012452)
Source: RNAcentral
AGAGGUGUCUCCCUCCACUUCUCAUGGUUCGGGUUGAAGCAACUGGGUUAAGAGAAGCCUCAUGUUGAUUAUCAAGUCGAGGGGUAAUCUGUUUCCCUAUCAGGGAUAUCUAUGUCGAAUGCAUGUGACCCCUCCAUGUUGGAGGGCACCCAGUUGAUGGUUGACUUCCACGGGGGCAACAAGCUCGCGUGUCUGAGCUUGCCUAGCUUCGUGGAGUGUCUCGAAGAGUUUCUCAUAUUGCUCCUAGAGGACCUCAUUCCUCAUUGCUAUCUUGUUGUUCUGAGCUUCCAACUCAUCGACUUUAGCUUGAAGAAGAACUCGUUUUCCUUCCUUCUUUCGUUGCUUCGCACUAUGUGCAAGGGGGGUGUCAUUCUGUGUGCUGUG